RNAcentral lists this ribosomal RNA (262 nucleotides) under uncultured bacterium. RNAcentral describes it as "partial 16S ribosomal RNA". It matches the Rfam family "Bacterial small subunit ribosomal RNA", at positions 336 to 615 of the family's 1533-position model. The record is from RNAcentral.
CCCCUACGGGGCGCAGCAGUGGGGAAUAUUGCACAAUGGGGGAAACCCUGAUGCAGCAAUGCCGCGUGGGUGAAGAAGUACUCCGGUAUGUAAAGCCCUAUCAGCAGGGAAGAAAAUGACGGUACCUGACUAAGAAGCCCCGGCUAACUACGUGCCAGCAGCCGCGGUAAUACGUAGGGGGCGAGCGUUAUCCGGAUUUACUGGGGGUAAAGGGAGCGCAGGCGGCGUGGCAAGUCGGAUGUGAAAACCCGGGGCCCAACCC